Molecule: ribosomal RNA, 253 nt
Filed under: uncultured bacterium
Lineage: Bacteria
Description: partial 16S ribosomal RNA
Rfam family: Bacterial small subunit ribosomal RNA
Source: RNAcentral
GACAGAGGGUGCGAGCGUUAAUCGGAAUUACUGGGCGUAAAGAGCACGUAGGUUGGUAUUUAAGUCAGUUGUGAAAGCCUCGAGCUCAACUUGAGAACUGCAAUUGAAACUGGAUACCUAGAGUUUGGUAGAGGGAAGUGGAAUUUCCGAAGUAGCGGUGAAAUGCAUAGAUAUCGGAAGGAACACCAGUGGCGAAGGCGGCUUCCUGGACCAAUACUGACACUGAGGUGCGAAAGCGUGGGGAGCGAACAGG